RNAcentral lists this ribosomal RNA (253 nucleotides) under uncultured bacterium. RNAcentral's name for it is "partial 16S ribosomal RNA". It matches the Rfam family "Bacterial small subunit ribosomal RNA", at positions 524 to 777 of the family's 1533-position model. The record is from RNAcentral.
UACAGAGGGGGCAAGCGUUGUUCGGAAUUACUGGGCGUAAAGGGCGCGUAGGCGGCCUUCUAAGUCGAACGUGAAAUCCCCGGGCUCAACCCGGGAACUGCGUCCGAUACUGAAGGCUUGAAUCCGGGAGAGGGAUGCGGAAUUCCAGGUGUAGCGGUGAAAUGCGUAGAUAUCUGGAGGAACACCGGUGGCGAAGGCGGCAUCCUGGACCGGCAUUGACGCUGAGGCGCGAAAGCGUGGGGAGCGAUCCGGG